RNAcentral lists this ribosomal RNA (318 nucleotides) under uncultured bacterium. RNAcentral describes it as "bacterial SSU rRNA". It matches the Rfam family "Bacterial small subunit ribosomal RNA", at positions 1193 to 1510 of the family's 1533-position model. The record is from RNAcentral.
UCAUCCCCUUAUGAUUUGGGCUACACACGUGCUACAAUGGACAAUACAAUGGGCAGCGAAACCGCGAGUCAAGCAAAUCCCAUAAAGUUGUUCUCAGUUCGGAUUGUAAGUAUGCAACUCGUCUAUAUGAAGCUGGAAUCGCUAGUAAUCGUAGAUCAGCAUGCUACGGUGAAUACGUUCCCGGGUCUUGUACACACCGCCCGUCACACCACGAGAGUUUGUAACACCCGAAGCCGGUGGAGUAACCAUUUGGAGCUAGCCGUCGAAGGUAGGGACAAAUGAUUGGGGUGAAGUCGUAACAAGGUAGCCGUAUCGGAA